UGUAACACUAAACUCCCUAGCCACUUCUCUUAAAAGGACGGCUUGAAUACCUCGAGGUGAUCUCUGCUGCCGCCAGGACAGUUUAUCGGGGCCUGAUGCGGGGCUUGGGGUUCUGAUGGUGCUUGGUCUGUGUUUCAUCUCCCUCUAAGACUCGGGGAAGGCGCUCGGGCAAGGCGGGUCCUUAAACUUUCUUCUGGGACAGUGAGGAUAUGUGUGGGUCUCCUCAUCAGACUGGGGCUCCCCGAGGGGCAACUUUCUCCUUAAAGCAGGACACCAUUUGCCCCUGUGACGUGGAUCUCCCUAGGCAUAGGAGAAAGUUCAUGCUCCGUUUGUGUAGGAUAGAAAAGGUGGGACAAAGAUCCGAUAUCUCCUCUUCAGAAAGAGGCAUGUGACCCUCCAUUCAGAUGGGGAACUCCUUGGGGUCAUAUCAUUCAUGUUAAACAUUUGCGAACCUUAAAGCCCAUGUAAACGUCAUUUUCACCCAUACCGUGUGGAACGAGAGAGGACGUAGGUUCAAAUCCUGUCUCUGAUGUGCACUGACACUGUGGCCUUGGGCAAGUUACCUAGCCUCCCUGGGACUCAGUAAAGGCCUCUGACGUGCCUUUUAAUUAGAUUUAUGAUUUUCUGAUGCCAGGUCAGGUCAAGGACUCCCCAGCGCAAGAACUAAUCAACAAAGCAUUUAUUAAGCUCCUACUAUGUGCCAAGCACUGUAUCUGGGCGGAUCCAAAUAUAAAGGUAAGAUAGUCCCUGCCCCCAAGGAGCUUACAUUCUAUUGGGGAGCUUCCUGAGGGCAGGAACUAUGACUCCCCUUAAGAUCCCCUGGAAGUUCCUCUAGGGCAAGUCACCAUAUCCCUCAUCAAACCUGGGGUUCCUAGAGGUCAGGGUCUAUGUCUGUGUCUCUCCCAACAGACUAAAAUGCACUUCGAAGACUACCCAGAGGUCAUCAGCAAUACAAUCCAGGGGAAAGAACACUGAAUUUUCCCAUCCAAUUUAGAAUUAUGGGACCUGAAUUCAAAUUCAGCUUUAUCAUUUAAGUCCUGUGUGACUAUGGGUAAAUCUCUUAGCCUUUCUGUGCCUCAUCCUUCUUCAUCUGUAAAAUGAGACAGCUAGACUAACCGGCUUCUAAGGCCCCUCUCAACUCUGGGUUUAUGCUCCUAUGAGCCUGCAAGCAUAGGGAACACAAAGAAAUAUGGACAGACCUUUAUCAAACAAUGCAAAGCAAAAGCCAAAACAAACAAACAAAUGAAACCGAAAAGGACAUGUCAACAAGACCCAUGAAAGAAGGAGGAAUGGAAACAGCCAAAGAAUCUGAAUGAAAACUCAGGGUCCAGAAAUCCGGAGUGAGAAGAUACCUCAGAGGCCAAGAGUCCAGACCCUUCAUUUUACAAAUGAGAAAACUGAGUCCCAGAAUGGUGAAGGAUUGCUGAAAUGGUAGCAGUGGAGAAGACUGCUCCCACUGCACAUGCUGAGUCACACAAGGCCUGGGCUUUUCAUCUGUGGAGACAGCACUGACAUCAAGGAAAUCCUGGAUCCAUGAUGUAUGAAAGCGGGCUGGGAGCUGGUGUCCCACCAGAUUGAAGAACCUGCGUGUGCAGGGGAAGGAGGGCCUGGUGUGCUUAAGUGUCAGAGCCCAUAGGAGGCAGCAUAAGCUUCCAUGGAAAGAGUCCCAGAUUCAUCCUUCUAGCUCUCCCCUCAAAAUGGCUAGAUAAUCUUGGCCAAGACACUUAAUCCCCAGUCCUCUCCCUGUUAGAUCCAAAAUAAAAGAAACAUAUUGUAGAAUGAUGUUAGAGCCGAGAAUGUCAGAGAUGGGAGGGGCCUUAGAAUACAGAAGAACGUGGAGCACAAAAUACCAGGAAAGGAUGGCUUAGAACAUAAAAUGUCAAAGGUGAGACUGUGUUUAGAACUGAACAUCAGAGCUGGGAGGGCCCUUAGAACAUAGUAAUAUGUUUAGUUUAGCACUUUAAGGCUUUAUGAAGUCCUUUCCCUUCCCAACAAACUGGUGAGAUAGGCAGCACUUGUCACUAUGUUUAAACUCUCAGGGCUCAGGGGCUAAGUGAUUUA
This is a non-coding RNA of Phascolarctos cinereus (koala), 2061 nucleotides long. Lineage: Eukaryota; Metazoa; Chordata; Mammalia; Diprotodontia; Phascolarctidae. The record is from RefSeq and is a predicted model, not a curated record.